This 607-nucleotide ribosomal RNA is filed under the name uncultured bacterium. RNAcentral describes it as "bacterial SSU rRNA". It matches the Rfam family "Bacterial small subunit ribosomal RNA", at positions 84 to 678 of the family's 1533-position model. The record is from RNAcentral.
ACUUGCAAAGAGUGGCGAACGGGUGAGUAACCCUUUGGAAACCUACCUCUUAGCAGGGGAUAACAUUUGGAAACAGAUGCUAAUACCGUAUAACAAUGACAACCGCAUGGUUGUUAUUUAAAAGAUGGUUCUGCUAUCACUAAGAGGGGGGGCCGCGGUGCAUUAGCUAGUUGGUAAGGUAAUGGCUUACCAAGGCGAUGAUGCAUAGCCGAGUUGAGAGACUGAUCGGCCACAAUGGGACUGAGACACGGCCCAUACUCCUACGGGAGGCAGCAGUAGGGAAUCUUCCACAAUGGGCGAAAGCCUGAUGGAGCAACGCCGCGUGUGUGAUGAAGGGUUUCGGCUCGUAAAACACUGUUGUAAGAGAAGAAUGACAUUGAGAGUAACUGUUCAAUGUGUGACGGUAUCUUACCAGAAAGGAACGGCUAAAUACGUGCCAGCAGCCGCGGUAAUACGUAUGUUCCAAGCGUUAUCCGGAUUUAUUGGGCGUAAAGCGAGCGCAGACGGUUAUUUAAGUCUGAAGUGAAAGCCCUCAGCUCAACUGAGGAAUUGCUUUGGAAACUGGAUGACUUGAGUGCAGUAGAGGAAAGUGGAACUCCAUGUGUAG